UCGCAUCAAUGGAUUAGGUUGCAUCAUGAAUACGGCAGCGGCCAUCUUAGGGUGAGGCCCUUUGAAUUGCUAACGCCUCGUAAAUGUUGCA
This 91-nucleotide ribosomal RNA is filed under the name uncultured eukaryote. RNAcentral's name for it is "partial small subunit ribosomal RNA". The record is from RNAcentral.